AACGAACGCUGGCGGCAUGCCUAACACAUGCAAGUCGAACGAGACCUUCGGGUCUAGUGGCGCACGGGUGCGUAACGCGUGGGAACCUGCCCUUAGGCUCGGAAUAACUCCCCGAAAGGGGUGCUAAUACCGGAUAAUGUCUUCGGACCAAAGAUUUAUCGCCUUUGGAUGGGCCCGCGUUGGAUUAGCUUGUUGGUAGGGUAAAAGCCUAUCAAGGCGACGAUCCAUAGCUGGUCUGAGAGGAUGAUCAGCCACACUGGGACUGAGACACGGCCCAGACUCCUGCGGGAGGCAGCAGUGGGGAAUAUUGGACAAUGGGCGAAAGCCUGAUCCAGCAAUGCCGCGUGAGUGAUGAAGGCCUUAGGGUUGUAAAGCUCUUUUACCCGGGAUGAUAAUGACAGUACCGGGAGAAUAAGCUCCGGCUAACUCCGUG
Molecule: ribosomal RNA, 433 nt
Filed under: uncultured bacterium
Lineage: Bacteria
Description: partial 16S ribosomal RNA
Rfam family: Bacterial small subunit ribosomal RNA
Source: RNAcentral